AUACGUAGGUGGCGAGCGUUGUCCGGAAUUACUGGGCGUAAAGGGCGCGUAGGCGGCUUUUUAAGUCAGAUGUGAAAACCCGGGGCUUAACUUCGGGAGUGCAUUUGAAACUGGAGGGCUUGAGUGCAGGAGAGGUAAGUGGAAUUCCUAGUGUAGCGGUGAAAUGCGUAGAUAUUAGGAGGAACACCAGUGGCGAAGGCGACUUACUGGACUGUAACUGACGCUGAGGCGCGAAAGCGUGGGGAGCAAACAGGAUUAGAUACCCUGGUAGUCCACGCUGUAAACGAUGGAUACUAGGUGUGGGAGGUAUCGACCCCUUCCGUGCCGCAGUAAACGCAAUAAGUAUCCCGCCUGGGGAGUACGGCCGCAAGGUUGAA
Molecule: ribosomal RNA, 377 nt
Filed under: uncultured bacterium
Lineage: Bacteria
Description: bacterial SSU rRNA
Rfam family: Bacterial small subunit ribosomal RNA
Source: RNAcentral